Molecule: transfer RNA, 70 nt
Filed under: Loxodonta africana (African savanna elephant)
Lineage: Eukaryota; Metazoa; Chordata; Mammalia; Proboscidea; Elephantidae
Rfam family: tRNA
About the family: Transfer RNA (tRNA) molecules are approximately 80 nucleotides in length.
Source: Rfam by way of RNAcentral
GCAUUGGUGGUUCGGUGAUAGAAUUCCUGCCUUCCAUGCAGAGACUCAGGUUCAAUUCCCCACCAAUGCA